This 483-nucleotide ribosomal RNA is filed under the name uncultured bacterium. Its description in RNAcentral is "partial 16S ribosomal RNA". The record is from RNAcentral.
CACGUAGUUAGCCGGGGCUUUCUGGUGAAGUACCGUCACACCAUCAUCAUUACCUAUGAUGGCUAUUCUUCCCUCACAACAGAGUUUUACAAUCAUUAAGACCUUCAUCACUCACGCGGCAUUGCUCGUUCACGGGUUUCCCCCAUUGACGAAUAUUCCUAACUGCUGCCUCCCGUAGGAGUUUGGACCGUAUCUCAGUUCCAAUGUGUCCGAUCAGCCUCUCAGCUCGGAUAUGCAUCGUAGUCUUGGUGGGCCAUUACCUCACCAACUAACUAAUACAACACAACGCCCAUCCUGAGGUGAAGCCGAAGCUCCUUUAGCAAUAAAUAGUUAUCUAUCUAUGAAUCAUCCGGUAUUAGCUUAUCGUUUACCAAUAGUUGUACCCAGUUCCGUUAGGGUACGGUUACCUGUGCUAUUACCUCACCCGUCUCGCCACUAAGUAGGAAAAUCCAAAAUCCUAAUUUUGUGCAACGCACGACUUAA